Molecule: long non-coding RNA, 1488 nt
Filed under: Coturnix japonica (Japanese quail)
Lineage: Eukaryota; Metazoa; Chordata; Aves; Galliformes; Phasianidae
Description: lncRNA (ENSCJPG00005012460.1)
Source: RNAcentral
AGCUGUCUGGCCUAUUGUUUUUUAACACCCAGUAUGAAAUGGCGUGUAUAGAAAUUGUCAUGUUAAGUGUAUCCAGGGUGUACUACAAAAUCAUAAGCUAAAAAUAAAGGGAAAAAAAAGAAGGCACAGCAGCUCAUGUUUGCUGUGAGUGCAGUUUCUGGGCAUACUGCUACAGUAUUUCUGGAACAUCGUUUCCAAAACUGCUUCCCCCCUUUUUAAUGAACUACCUGAAGGUUAACAUGAGCGUGUCAUAUUGCCCGUCCACAUGGCUGCCGGCUCCUUGUGCUUUCCUCACUAAACUGAUUUAAUUAAGCAGAAUUGUUCCCUCGCCUCCCCUGCAGCGCUUCAGUCCCACAAAGUUUCUUCAAAGAAACCCCCAGCCUGGAACUGGUGCGGCUCUGCAGAGGGAAACGCCGCACUGUACUUCAAAGCGGAGAAAAUCUGCAGCUGCCGGGAGCCCGCCUGCCCCAGGAGGUGUCACUGUUGGGACUGGCAGGGUGAGCUCCGGAGCUGCUGUUUGUUUUCUAAAGCCUGCUUUGACCGUGAGGUAUGUAGUUCAGCCAUGCCAAAGACUCCACAGUCUGCACUGAGCUACAAAACCAGGUCCUGAUGCAGAAGCUAGGAGGUCUUGCUCAUCUUCUUUUUGUGCUGAUGGCACUAUGAUUCUGCCACAGAAUCACAGGUGUUGGAUGGGACCUCCAGAGAUCAUCAAGUUGAGUAGGUAUUACCUCAGUUUCUCUGUCUAGAGCAGGAGUUUUAGAAUUUAUGAAACAUUCAUGACACUUUUUGGGACUCCUGUGCAAAGGGCAAAUUUAGUGAUGUGAAAUGCUUUCUUUCUGUGGAGGAAGCUUAAAUGGAAGAAAGAGUGAGUGAUGUUAAUGUCCAGCCAGUUUUAUGUGUAAAUUUUAUUUUUAUGUUUCCUCCUUCUGUCUCUGCAGUGGUAAUUCUGAGCAAGUUGUCACCUUGACAUCACUGGGACAGUUAAGUGCUACUCAAUGUGAGAAAGGGAUGCAGAAUUAGGCCUCGGUUAGGAAAUGUUUUAGGGCCAUCAAAAGCCUGACCCCUUCUUUGCCUUCAAAGGACAUGUUGCUAAGUAUUAUUAGACUGUUCAAACUGGGACACUCAUAAUAGUGCUGGGAGCAGAAAGUGCUCAGCUUCAAUAGACAUUUUGCAUCGGUAAGGUCUCCAGGAGCAAGCGAGCAUCCUUUGAGCUUCCCACGUGCUGUUGGGAAUAAGUGGGCAAAGGUGCCUGCGAGUCUUUAGGUGCACAGAACUGUUCAUCAAGGCCUGGAUGCCAAUACCCUUCCUUGCACUGAGAAGCAACUGUGUUACAUAAGGUGGUUUAUUUUUUUAAUGUGAAGUAAAGCCUGAAAGUGUCAGUCCUGUCAGUUGGUGGGUGCCUUCAGCAUCCAUUAAAGUGAGUAGGAACAGAGGGCAUUUGCCCCUGGUUGGCAAGUGUAGACCUUUAAUGUUAAACAGAGAAAUUAU